RNAcentral lists this long non-coding RNA (19747 nucleotides) under Lactuca sativa (garden lettuce). RNAcentral describes it as "long non-coding RNA (LSAT_LNC001536)". The record is from RNAcentral. Lineage: Eukaryota; Viridiplantae; Streptophyta; Magnoliopsida; Asterales; Asteraceae.
CCAUUCAAGAACCUUGAAGAAGUCGACCCCUGAACAUUGAAGUUUCUAUAGUAAGCAGUAAAUGGUGCCUUUGACCAAUCAGUUUUGACCAAACCACCCCUCGUAGCCCAAUCAUCAGCGUUCCAUAAACUCGAGUAUAUCUUCAUAGGUUGGUUUUUAGGAAAAGCAACACCUUUUCUCUCAGCAUUUGCGAAUACUCUUAUAGGAGUGUUAUCCACCAAGAAACUGAAAAUACAAGAUAAAAAGAGCGUUAAAGAAAGGUGUAAAACAAUAGAAAGAUAACGUCGAGUUUGAAUCAUGAUAUUCUCUUAGUUCUUACACUAUCUUUUGAGAAUCCCAGAUGAUUGAGUAGGUGUGGAAGUUCUUGGUUGGAUCAAACCAUAGAUAGAAUUGUUGCUCUCUGUUUCCUUUUCCUUGAGUGAAGACAUUCGUAUGCAAGAUGUAAGGAUCACCUGUUGUGUUCCCUAAAAACUCAAAGUCGAUUUCAUCGUGAGUUGGUCCUUCAGAUGACAACUGCAACAGAUAAUAAGUUAACUAUCAAAUUUUGAAGAUCAUAUUCAUAUAUCUGAAUCUUUACUAUGCACUUUCAAAAUUUUCAAGUUCAUAUUACUACUAGCUAACAAUAUUCUUUUUUCAUAGCAUUCAAAAUGUUCUUGAAAAACCCGUGAACAUGUCUUUAUUAAACCCCACAUGUUGCUUUCAGAAAAUUCCGUAACCCAAAAGAUAGAAUUUAUCUAUUUGCAUGAGAAAGAUAACAGCAUAGGGUAUACAAACUAUAACAUCAUGGUUUUCGAAACUGUAAAAACUUACAUAAUAAGCAGUGACAGUUCCAGCAGAGUUGCCUGAAACAAGCUUCAGCUGCAUAUCGAUCCUCCCAAACAAAUACUCUUUCUUGGAUUUAAAACCCGACCCGGAUACUUUAUCCAAGGAAAGUGAAAGAAGCUGGCCUCCAUUGAAAAUCUUGGCCCGAUGAUCACCCCAUGUGAGAUCAAAAUCUUGAUAAAAGUUUCCAGCAGAAGCAACCAUGAGGAAAGAGGUUAGUGCCACCAUUAGAACAGUAAAAGAGAGACUUUUUGAGUACCCAUUACAGAAAGAUUCCAUUUUGGUAAGAUUAAGGAGGAAAGAAGAUGUUUUGAGUUGUGGGUUUUGGGUUUUAGAAGUAUGAAUAUAUAUAUAGUAAAUGAACAAAGAGGGAGUGUAGGAAGUUUUAAAGAAAGGUGAUGAAGCUUGUGAUCGGAUGCCAGCUGGAGCGGAGAAGCUGUUGCCAGCUGGGCAAUAAUCAAAGCUGGGGAAGGGUAUUUUGUUUGGCUUGCUUUUUGGAUGAUGGGGUCAUUGGUUUUGGGGAUUGCCAAACAUCCUGAUUUGUGGAUAACAUCUUUAAGUUUUCCAUAUGAAUUCGAAUAAGUCUUACAGUAACUACAGUUUUGGUACUUGUGCUUUAAUUAUUUUUUAUUUGGUCAGUUGUUUUAUUGGUCUUUUAUUUGGACAUUAUUAAAAAAUAGUUAUUAAAUAUAUAAAUAACGAGUAUUUUGACUUUAUUAUUAUUAUUAUUAUUACUAUUAUUAUUACUACUACAACUUCCACAUUUCAUACCGUCAUAUCUCAUAACUAAAGGUCAGAGCGUUGUUCCAGCAGUUAUCACGGUGUUAAGGUGCCUCAACGUAGACAAAAACACCUCUUUAUAGACCCGUAGUGAGUAGUCUUAAUGUUGACAUUUAACUAAAUUUCAUUUUCAGUGGUUAACCUUUUACAAUAAUUUUUUUUAGAAGUUUACAUAAUGGAUCACUAUCUAUUUUAAAUUUUUUAUAAAACCAUUUCAUUUAAUUAGUUGUUUUUAAGUAUAUCAUAUUUUAAUAACUAUGGUUUGUAUUAAACCUUACUGUGGUUUGUAAUAUAUAAAUGUUUGUAACAUUUAAUAGAAAUAAAUAUGUAUUAAAGAAAUAGAAUUUAUUUAAAACUAAAAUAAAACUAUGGGGUUAAAAUNNNNNNNNNNNNNNNNNNNNNNNNNNNNNNNNNNNNNNNNNNNNNNNNNNNNNNNNNNNNNNNNNNNNNNNNNNNNNNNNNNNNNNNNNNNNNNNNNNNNNNNNNNNNNNNNNNNNNNNNNNNNNNNNNNNNNNNNNNNNNNNNNNNNNNNNNNNNNNNNNNNNNNNNNNNNNNNNNNNNNNNNNNNNNNNNNNNNNNNNNNNUGUUUAAUCAAAUAGUAAUAAGCCAUAAAACUUGUAUUGGGAACGUUCUUAGAACUUUUAGUUUAUAUUUCCGAACAAGGUUUUUGUUUAUUUUAAAUAUUUUUUCCGAAAGAUUAAAAAUUAAAAUGUCUUGAAAAUUUCCAAAAGCUCGCUAUCGAUCCAAUAUGACAAAGGUUUUUAUGAAAUAGUAAUACAGAGAGAAAAGAAGAUAAAUAAAUAAAAAGAUAAAAGUUUAACCAAAUAUAGAAAAAUUAACUAAACAAAUGGAUAAAAAUGUUUUCUACACCAAGUUUUAUCAACUUCUUGAAAACUAAUAAAAAAGACAUCAAAUAAAAGUAUAUUGUAGUUAUAGUGAAAGUGUGAGAUGCCAAUAAAAACAAAAGUAAAGGCCUCAACAAAUGAUUCCAUUAACCUCAGGGAAAUAGGCAUGGCCCCCCUCAGCUUCCUGCUUUUGGCUGUGAGAUUCAUUGGGACUGAGAACUGAGAAGUGGAUGACAACCAUACUAUAUGCUUCCAAACAUUAUUACUUCAUUUAUUAUAUGCAUGGCCCUCAAAAAAAGGGGUUCUUGGAAUCAAAACAUUCUUUAAAAAAUAUUUACUUUGUGUUCAAAAAACCAUGUAUAAUUAAUCAGUAUCAUGUUUGCCCUUUUUUUUUUCCUUCUAGUUUAAGAUUUACGAUUUGUCAAUUAAGUAUGGAUUAGAUUUGUUGGUUAAAAAAUAUAUAUAUAUUUUAAAAAUAAAUAUUAUGUUUGAACCAAAAAAAAUUGUUUCCAAAAGAACAUGUUAAUAACUGCUAAUCAUACAAAAAUUGUAUAUAAUCUUUUGUACUGAAUCAUUAUGUUGUUUGAAUGCUUAAUCAUCCUUUAUGAUGAAUCCUUGGGGUUGUUUGAAUACUUGUACCUAAUUUAGGGUAGUCCAUUCUGUCAUGUUGUUUGAGUAGCUAUACUUAAUUAUUAGUAAUAUAAGUGGUUGCAAAAGAUCGAGAAGAGGUGACAUCAAUGAAUAAUGGUUUCAAAGGCAUGGUCCAUUCACUUGUACUACCUCCACUGGAAUUGACCUUACCUUCCAAAUACUAAGUAAUAGAGUUUUCAAAAGUACCCAACUUUUAUAUUUGUCUUUCUUUAUUCGUGACAAAAGUAUAGUGGUGGGAAAGAUCAAUAAAAUCAAAAAAUAAAAAAUAAAAAAAUAAAAUAGGAAUCGAACUACGUUGGACAUAAAUCGAAUAUAAUUUCUUUGUUUUUCCUUAGACUUAAAAAUGUGUAUGGCUUUAAAUAAAUACUUUUCAUUUAUCGACACUUCAAAAAUACUUAACUUAGACAUUUUAACACUUUCCAAAAACUAUACUCAUGCAUCAUAAUCACUUCUAAAUAAAGUAUUAAAGCAUUGAUGCAUCAACUUUACUUUUUCUUACAUGUACCGACUUUUAGUCGAUUUAUUUUCAAGAAAUAAAAAUGGUUUACUUUGUUUGUAUUUUUCUUUAACUACUUUAAAAAAAAGUCAAGUUUGGACUUGCAAAAAAAUGAUUUUUAAAUAGGGUUUUGUAAUUUUGUUGUAGAUUUGGUCCAUAAACUUAAACAUAAAAAAACUAAUCAUGAUCUUUUAAAUUCAUGUCAAAUUAUUUUAACUUUUUUUUAUUGUUUAUAUUUUCAUGAGCUCAUCCGAAGACUUAUUCUCUUUCCUCUAUCUUCCUUAUCGAUCACACAGCCACCCAACCCCCUUCACCUUCCUCCUUUGGUGACUUGACAACCUCCACGACACAGUGACCAUUAACCGCUAACUUUUGAUCAAGUUUGACUUUUGGUCAAUUAUGUUGGGUUUAGGUCUUAGAGGGACAAAAUGGUAUUUUCCUCCUGCAUUAGCUUUUAAUGGACUUAGACUCGAUAAGGAAGCGUAAAUAAAUGUUUUACCAUAAUUAUUAAAUUACGGUUAGUUAUUAUGUAGUGGUUCGAGGUAGUAUCGUUGCCAUUUAACUCGUUGUGUGGAUUUAUCUUUCAGAUGAGUUCUUCUGAACUUACUUCUUAUAUGGAUUAUGUUUAUAUGUAUGACAACUAGAGAAAAGCCUCUCGGAGGGAAUCUAGUUGGAUUAAAAGACUGUAAGACCAUGAAAAGCCUCUUAGAGGGAAGUGGUCAAUAUUAGGUCAACAACAGAAAUGACUUUCAGAUGGAAUCUAGUUGACUGGGGUUAUGUGUGCUAGCUAGAAUAUGUUAUGUGUCUGAAUGUGAAAUUAUAUAUAUGAUUACUUUUUGAUGCUUAUAUGAUAUGAUGUGAAAUGAAUAUGAUCUGUAUAAUGGAGAAUUGUUAUCAUUACUCACUAAGCCAUAGGCUUACAAUUGCUACUUUCUGCAUUUAGUUAUAAGUGGUCAAUAUUAGGUCAACGACAGAAAAGUCUUUCAGAGGGAAUCUAGUUGAUUGGGGUUAUGUAUGCUAGAAUAUGUUAUGUGUUUGAAUGUGAAGUUAUAUAUGAUUACUUUUUUAUGCUUAUAUGAUAUGAUGUGAAAUGAAUAUGAUUUGUAUAAUUGUGAAUUCUUAUAAUUACUCACUAAUCCGUAGGCUUACAGUUGCUACUUUAUGUCUUUAGUUAUAAGUCCUUCAAAUUCGAAGCGAAAGGGAUUGGCUUGAUUGGGGCAUCUGGACAUUCUCAAAGGCAUGACAUCCACUCCAUGUUAAUCUUUUAUGCCUUUUUUUUUAAAACAAAUAUUUAGCUUCCACUUUAUACAAUGAUUUUAUGUUGCUAUGUUAAUGAUGUUAUUGAUGGAACCCCCUUUUAGUAAUAUUAUACUCGGAUUUUCAAAAAAAAUGAUGGUUGAUUUUUGGAUGUUACAAGUUGGUAUCAAAGCUUUAGUUUGAGAGAACUAAAUAUGAUUUGUGUGUGUUUAGACACUACUCAUUUAAAAAAACUCAACUUGUUUUAUGAACUAAACAAAGUAACAGGAUAAGUUUUGAAAAAUAUAAGAGGAGAAACUAUCUUAUGCCUCGACUCGAAGAAGAGAAUGCAGAUUGUCCAGUCAUCUGAGCUCCAGAAUUAGUCAAUACUUGAGACUCUUGUGGUUGGUAAACAACUGACAUUUUGUACCAAAAAGAUAAUGUCUCCAAAGUUUUAGGGCAGAUACCACUGCAGCGGGUUCGAGAUCAUGGGUGGGAUAACUCUUUUCAUAAUCUUUCAGUUGUCUUGAGGCAUAGGCUAUCACUUUACCAUGUUGCAUCAACACACAGCCGAGUCCCAAUCUUGAAGCAUCACUAUACACGGAGAAAUCAUCAUCACCUUCUGGAAGUGAUAAGAUGGGAGCAUGAGUCAAAAGAUCUUUUAGAGAUGAGAAAGCUUUUUCUUGGGCUUCACCCCAUUCGAACUUUGCUUCCUUUCAAGUAAGACUAGUGAGAGGUACAACUAUACGAGAAAAGUAUUUAAUGAAUCUCCGGUAAUAACCCGCAAGACCCAUGAAACUACGAAUUUCGGAAGAUUUGCGAGGCGCUUCCCAAUUUUGAAUGGCUUCAAUUUUGGUAGGAUCUACGGAUACACCGUCACCAAAAAUAACAUGGCUGAGACAUUGAACUUGGCAAAGCCAAAAUUCACAUUUCGAGAAUUUAACAUAAAGUUUCUCCUUUCAAAGAAGUUCUAAGAUUUCACAAAUAUGAACGACAUGAUUAGCUUCAGACUUGGAAUAGAUUAGAAUAUCUUCAAUGAAUACGAUGGCAGACGUAUCGAGCAUUGGGCGGCAUACUUGAUUCAUCAUAUCCAUGAAUACAGCGGGAGCAUUUGUCAAACCGAAUGGCAUGACAAGGAAUUCGAAAUGCCCAUAACGAGUACGGAAAGCAGUCUUCGGUACAUCCUGCUCUUGUACUUUCAACUGAUGAUAGCCAGAUCUCAAAUCAAUCAUUGAGAAAUAGCUAACACCCUGAAGUUGAUCGAACAAAUCGUCAAUGUGAGGUAGUGGGUACUUGUUCUUGAUAGCCACCUUAUUCAGCUCACGAUAAUCAAUGCACAUCCGCAUUGAUCCAUCCUUCUUCUUGACAAACAAUACCGGAGCACCCCAGGGAGAGGUACUCGGUCGAAUAAAGCCUUUGUCAAGUAAUUCCUGUAGUUGGAUCAUCAUUUCUUUCAUCUCGGCUGGCGCAAGACGAUAAGGAGUCUUUGCAAUCGGAGCAGCAUCAGGCAUAAGGUCAAUUCGGAAUUCUACUUGUAUGUCUGGAGGAAGUCCAGGCAGAUCAUGGGGAAAACAUCAGGAUAUUCAUUAACAAUGGGAACAUCAUUUACAGUUUUAUUCUCCUUUCUUGAGAUGUCAACUGUAUAGGCCAGGUAGAUAGGGCAGCCCUUCGAUAUAAAUUUACGAGCUUUGAGGAAAGAGAUUAUUUUUAAGAUCCUUUGCUCACCGUAGACAUGAAUAGGAUCUUCCCUUUCAAUAGGAAUGUGUACCAUCUUUUCAUAACACAAGAGUUAUUCAUGGUUCUUUGACAACCAAUCCAUGCCGAGAAUAAUAUCGAAGUUGGGCAAAGAAAUAGGGAUUAGGUUUGCAAGAAAAUUAUAGCCUUCAAUUUCUAUGAUACAAUCCCUAUAGAUUUUAUCAGCAAGUAAUGAUAUACUUCCCACAGUAUCUAAGUGAAAUGGUUGCGCGAGUGCAUAGCAAGUAGUUUGAAAAGAAUGCGCAAAUUCAUAAGAUACAAAAGAAUCUGAGGCACCAUAAUCAAAUAAGAUGUGAGCAGGUCUAGAGUUGACAAGAAAUGUACCCGUCACAACAUUCGGGUCCUCGCGUGCUUCCUAUGUGGUAAUCUGGAAUGCACGACCCUUAGCUUUUGGCACCUCCUCCUUUUUAGCUGGAGUAUUCUUUGGUUGUUGGACAGGGACUUGACUUCUCGCCGGUUGUUGAACAGAAGUUUGACUUCCCGUUAUCUGACUAGUAAGAGUAGGGCAAAAACACUUCUUGUGGCCAGUAAUACCACAUGCAUAGCAAGUCACAUCCUUCAUUGGGAAAGCUGGCUUUAUAUGACCAAUUUCUCCACACCCAUAACAGACAAUGGAUUCCUUGUCUAUUUUGCAUUGACCCAGAUGAUUCCUUCCACAAACGCAACAUGAAGGCGGUUGAAUAGAAAAAGAUUGUGACCUGCCGCGGCCACGAAAAGCACUCUGAGACCGUGCUUUCUUGCUAGGAUCAGUUAGAACAGAUUGAGCUGGUGGAAUAGUGGAAACAGGAGUAGUCCUUUCAGUACGUGGAUGCUUUGGAACAGUAAGAGUGGCACCAUUUAUCUCUAAGUCAUGCUCACGCCUUCAAACAUAUUUAACAGCUUUAUCAAAUGACAUAACAUCCCGAUUGGCUACAAAAUCAUGGAUUUCAUGUCGUAGUCCUUCUAAGAAUAAUUGAAUUUUCUCAUCUUCAGUUGGAAUAUACUUUGCAGCAAACCGUGCUUUUUGAUUGAACUGAGUUUCGUACUCAUUCACAGUCAUUCCUCCUUGUUUAAGCUCGAGGAAUUCCUUCUCCAAUCUUCUCCUCAUAUCUAGAGGAUAAUACUUUUCUAGCACAUGAGUUUUGAACAACUCCCAAGAUAAAUUCUCCUGGUCAUAUCCGUUGAGAGCUUCAUAUGUUGCUUCCCACCAGACCAAGGCUUCUCCGAUGAGCAUUGCAGAAGCAUAGAUAGCCUUGUCUUCAUUAUCCACAUGAGAGACACGAAAUACUUUCUCGGUGUUCUGAAUCCAAGUCAGAACAACUACGGGAUUAAGGACACCAGAAAACUCUGUAGCACCACUACUCUUGAAAUCUUUGAACGAGGGACGCUUCACCUCUCCUAUUGAAGAUUCUCCGGGGGCUUUCUUUUUUCCUUUAUCACCAUUCUUUUUAUGUUCUUCGAGAGUUUGUCGAAUAACACCGGUAAGCUUACCCAAGAGUCGCUCCUCACGAGGAGAUACCGGAGUAUUCACUUCCUCGGGUUGAGGACCUCCACCAACCUCAGGGGUAUGGCUAAUUACUUGUUCAGCCAUCGUUCUGAAAUUUAGGAGUAAUAUAGUAUUUUAGAAUAUUGGGAUUUAUUAUAACCUAAUACUUCACUUAAGUCUUUCCUAUGGUUUGUAUCCAUAUACUUAUAAUGAUUCAAGUAACAUACUGAACUUCCAAUAGUUUAGGUCUAAAUACCAAUCCGUGGAAUUUAGUUCGCUUAAACUACUGCUCCGAUACCAUGAUUGAAAGACCCCAACUUUCGUAUUUUUGAAAUACCCAAACUUUCAUACUUCACAAUAUUAUUACUCCAAAACAUGCUACUUGCAUAUUCAUAAAAGCCAUAUUUUACAUUGAUAAAGAGGUUACAAACUACUAGAUACAAACCGACUAUUACAAAGUGUUAUAUAUUACAUAACUACCCAGGAUAUUGUAAUUUAUACAAAAAUAAACUAAAGUACAAAAGUACUAUUACAAACUAUUCUAAAUCUUUCAACAAUAUACGAUUGUACUAGUUACUUAUCUCUUGCAAUUGUUAAACAUUGAUAGGGUAAGCGGUGACGCUUAGUGAGUUCAAUAAUAGAUACAAUAUAACGUUAUGCUAUAUAUAUACUUCAAUAUGGCAGAAGCAAAGACAAACAAGGAACAACAAAGGCAUAUGUGAAUCAUGUGUUAAGCUUUCCAUAUCAAUCAAUGACUUGAUUCAAAGGUAUACAAUCAAUGAGACAUAACAAUUUCCAUACUUGAUAUACAUCAAUAAAGAUCCGGCCCAAAUGGCACAGAAGACAUAAGAUUUCUGAUUAACAUCUUGGUAGAUUUUAGGCUUAUAGCCCUGUCUAACCAUUUGCCAAUGCCAUAGAAUAGAACUCAUUCUCUUACAGAGACAUGCUCUACAUGGACAGAGGCUACGUACCAGUACCAAUGUGAAUCUAAGUCCUUUCACUGAUCACAUGGUCAAAGGUAUUUGCUAUAAAAAUAGCGAAUAAAAUAACAUGGGAAAAUAACCCGGAAUAAUAACACUGAAAAGCACAUAGCACAUAUAAUACAUAACAUACAAUUGUUCCUAUAUAUUGAACUCACCUUGAAUUAAACGGGGGUCAAAAUAGUAAUGUGGGCAACACUUCGGCUUUAAAUAUGACUUUCUAUAUUGAAAACCGGGAGUUUUCUUGAUAACCGGGCUCUGCGAAGGUAGAGCUUCAAAACCGAAAAGAUAAAUUUUCCGGGCUUCUCGGGCACUUCGGGACAUGUUUUGGGUGUUAAAAAUAAUACCGGGGCUUCGGGGGAAGUCAAAAUAGUAAAAAUAUUGAUUUGUGGGUCAAAAUUGGCAAAUUUCACAUUUUACUCGGGAGGAUUCGCAACCCUCCUAUUUAUAGGGUGCGAAGAUGCGAGGGUCGGAUGAGAAGGGACACGCGGCUACUAGAGCGAAGGCCAUGAAGCGAGAAGGGAGAGUUGGCGAGGUAUCGUGCCGGUUUUAUCACGGAUCUUCGAUUGGUCAUAACUUCUUCGUUAUAACUUGGAUUUCGACGAGGUUUUCACCUACAAGUUUCUAACGAGAUUAUCUACAAUUUUCAAUAAUAAAAUUUUACUUAUUCCAAAUUUUAUAUUUUCGUUAAAUUUCACCAUGUAACAUUUAAUUGGAAUCUCAUAAGACUUCCAAUAUUUUCAGAGUGAUUCUAAACAUAGUUUUACUUCAUUUCUAGUCAAAACCAUUUGUUAGAACUCAACAUUCAAAUUCACAUAAUAUUUCGUAAUAUUAUUCAUUACAAAACACGAUUUCAAAACGUGUAUGUUACAUCUUUGGGUCGUUUCAAGUUGGUAUCAAAGCCUUGGUUUUAGGGAUUCGGGCACACUCUCGGGUGUAACUGAACUCAAACUGAGGAAUUGGUAAUUUUUCUUAAAAAGAAAACGAGUUUCUAAAAAGAUUUUUAUAAAAUGAAUAAAAUUUCUAUAAUGAUUUUUAUAAAGACAAAGGAGGUGCGAUGCGUGCAAUCGUCCCAACUCAAGUAAGUGAUGCCCAGAAUACCCAUACUUGUUUGUUAUGAUUAUAUGUUAUGAGAACUGCUUUCUAGGAUGAGGCUAAGGAUACUUUCAGGAAUUGCAUGAUAGAUUGACCUCAUAUGUGAUNUAUAUGUAUAUUACACAAACAAACACACACACAUAUAUAUAUAUAUAUAUAUAUAUAUAUAUAUAUAUAUAUUGGUAUUAGUAAUUGCUAAGUUUAUGCUUUAAAAGUUGUAUAAAAUUAGGAUCAUAUUGAUGGGUUUUCUAGGUUAUAAACAAAAAUUACAUGUGGCUGAAAAAACACUUAAACCCUUAAGUUCACAUGAAACCUCGAAUGGACCUAUGUUUUCUCCAUUGAUAGGCUAUGAAAUCAAAAUUCAUGCAGAAAAUUAGGGUUACAUAUUUUUUGAUUAUUAUUGUAAAUAAUCAAAAUAGAAUCGUUCUUCUAGUUCUUGGAAAGCUAGCACUAAAGGAAUUGAUGCCUGUAAUGGCUUGUACCCAAAACUCUAGUAGCAAGAAGACUUUAGGAGAGAGGGGACUAGAUCAUAAAUACAGCUCUGCGAAAGCAAGUAAAUGUGUGUGGAAAAUAGGCACCCAUUGCGUCCUAUUUCUACUUGCUCAAGGAAGCUCCCAUGGAAACCAAAGAGUCCUUUGAAUGAUUAAUUCUAAUUAAUCUUAGAAUUAAAUCCAAAUCAUUCUAAUUAAUCAAUAAACCAUUACUAUUUCCAAUUAAUAUAUUAAUCAUAUAAUAUUAAUAAAUCAUAUAUUUCAAUUUCCAAUUAGUUUAUUAUUCAUAUAAUAAACUAACAACUUAUCCUCUAUCUCUAACUAUCAUUCUAAUUAGUUACUAGUUUUGAGGCAACCCAAAAAGCACUUUGCUUCUAAUUCAAGAAUAUACCAAUUUAUUUAUUGUCUUAGACACCUUAAUCAAAUAGUCUUCCACUUAGAUAAGUCUGUAACUACAAUUGCAAGUAUAGACCUUGAAAUAAACAGCAAAGAGUGCUUUGCAAAGUCACUGCCGAACUCUGAUUCAAAUCGGUUAUUGUCCCUAAGAUAAAUGAUCAGCUAUUCCUUCAUUCUUCAAGAUAUCAUAUGAACACGAGACAUCAUAUGAACAUGAGACAUGUAUCAUAAUAAAUCUCAUUGUCCAAAAUUGUGUUUCCCGAUUUCCUGAUUUGUAAAGACUUGAUUGGACAUCAAAUUGAACACAUCAAUUAGUCUUGGUUGGGCCUAGCACUAUAUAGUCAACAUCAAAUCAUGGAACGGACUAAUGAUAUCACUUUUCCUGUUAGGGCAAAAGGAAUGAAUUACAUUGACUACAUAGUCAUAUAAUUCACACAUGGUAUUACCCUUUAUAACGUCCAGUUACGAGAUGCGUUUGAGUAAGCUAAUACAUAACUAAUCUGUAAACAAUGAACUAUAUAUCUCUACUUUAAGGAUAGAAAAUAUUAUCGUCUGAGAAUUACUUCUAACAAGAUCCAUGAAGUAAUCUCUAUGCGUGGGUUUAUCAAACACUUAAAAUCCUUAUUUCCAAAGUACUCAUGAAUAUUGUAGCAAUUCAAAUUGUAAUGUCUUAACCUCAAUCGACAAUCUACAAUCAAUUCAUGAUAGUCUUAAUUCACUACUUACUUCCAGAAGUAUGAUUGACUGUGGAAGUUUGAAUAAUUUAAAUUACGUAGGAAGUGUAAACAUGCAAAAAAGAAACACUAGAAAAAAUAAUUGAAUGAGGCAGUACAAUACUCAAUAAUAAUUCUCUAUUAUUCAUUCAUCAAAUCAAUUACAUUUAUUUUGUUACAAGUUUCAAAUAUAUCAUCUAACUACUAAAUAUGCUCCUAGCAUGCUGGUAGUGUUUGACCCUGCUCAGAGCCUUUGUGAAAGGAUCUGCAACAUUAUCUUCUAAUGAUAUUAUCUUCACUAGAUGGUGUCCUUUUUCUACCUAAUGUCAAAUGUAAUGGUACUUUCUGUCUAUAUGAUUGGAUCUACCAUGAUCCUUUGGUUCUUUUGUCAAAUCAAUAGUGCCUUCAUUAUCACAGAACAGUUCCAUUGAUUCAUGAAUAGUUGGAACGACUCUGAGAUCUUCGAUAUAGUUCUUCAACCAAGCCACUUCCUUUGAUGCUUCACGCAUAUCAAUGUAUUCAGACUCACAUGUGGAAACAGCCACUAUGUCUUGCUUGGAACUUUUCCAAGUAAUCGCUCCUCGAUUCACUAAGAAUACCCAACCAGACUACGAACAAAAGUUCUCUCGGUCUAUUUGAAAACUAGCAUCACUGUAACCACUCACUCUUAGCGUAUCACUUCCGCCAAGAACUAGGCACAUCUCUUUUGUUCUUUGAAGAUAUUUAAGAAUAUUCUUCACUGAAAUCCAAUGGGUUCUGCUAGGAUUUCCCUAAAAUCGACUAACUAUGCUCAAAGCAUAAGACACAUCAGCGCGAAUACAGGUCAUUGCAUACAUGAUCGAUCCAAUAGACAAAUAGUGACCUUCCUGGUAUUGUAUGUUGAUGACAUACUUCUUAUAGGAAAUGACAUUCCAACUUUACAAGAAGUUAAGUCUUGGAUUGGAAAGUGUUUCGCUAUGAAGGAUCUGGGAGAGGCUGCUUAUAUUCUAGGGAUAAGGAUUUUGAGAGACAGGAGUAAAAGACUAAUUGGACUUAGUGAAAGUACGUACUUUGAUAAAAUACUAAAACGUUUUAGUAUGGAGAAUUCCAAGAAGGGAGAACUGCCAAUACAAAGUAAUACCAAAUUGAGUAAGACUCAGAGUCUGAGUACUAAUGCAGAGAUAGCGGAAAUGAUUCGAGUUCCAUAUGCUUCUGCCGUUGGAUCAAUCAUGUAUGUUAUGACAUGUACUCACCUAACGUUGCUUUUGCUUUGAGCAUGGUUAGUAAUUGUCAAGGAAAUCCAAAUAAAGCUCAUUGGAUAGCGAUCAAGAAUAUUCUUAAGUAUCUGUGAAGAACCAAGGACUGGGUCCUUGUACUUGGUGGUAGUGAUAAUUUAAGAGUAAUUGGGUAUAGUGACACCAGUUUUCAGACAAAUAGAGACAACUUAUGUUCUAAAUCUAGUUGGGUUUUUACCUUUAAUGAAGGAGCAGUGACGUGGAAAAGUUCCAAACAGGAGACGGUGGUUGAUUUUACCUAUGAAUUAGAGUACAUAACAUCAAGCGAAGCAUCGAAGGAGGCUAUAUGGUUGAAGAACUUCAUCGAAUACCUUGGAGUUGUGCCAGCCAUAAAGGAGACAAUGGAUAUUUUCUGUGAUUAGGAAAGAGCGGUUGCCUUGACAAAGGAACCAAUAGAUCAUGGCAUAUCAAGACAUAUCAACAGAAAAUAUCAUUUCAUUAGACAUAUAGUAGAAGAAGGUCACCUCUUCAUGAAGGGGGUAUCAUCCAAAGAGAAUCCAACAGAUCCCCUCAGAAAGGGUCUGAGUAGGAUUAAGCACAUUCAUCAUGCUAGGAGCAUUAGUCUGAAGGAUGAUAUUAUUUUUAGUAGUUAUAUAGUUGUUUUAGAAACUUGUAACAAAAUACAUGUAAUUGACUCUUGAUGAUUAAGUAAUGGAUAAUCAUAUAUGAGUAUUGUCUACUAUCUUUUGUCAAUUGUUUAUUAUUGCGUUUCAUUUUUCAUGUUUUACUUCCCGAAUAAUUAGAUUAUUCAAAAAUCCACAGUCGAUCAUACUUUUGGAAGUAAGUAGUGAAUUAAGACUAUCAAGAAUUGAUUAUAGACCGUCUAAAGAGUUUUAGGCAUAAUAAUGGUAUUGCUGCAAUAUUCAUGAGUACUUUGAAAUGGAGAAUUUAAGUAUUGGAUUAACCCACACUCAGAAAAUUACUUCAUGGAAUUUAUCAUGAGUAAUUGUGAGAUGAUAAUAUCUUAUAAUCUUUAAGCGGAUGUAUAUGAGUUGUUGCUUACGGGUUGGUUGUGCAUUGAUAAUAUGUAAACGCAUCAGUAACUUGAUAUUAUAAAAUGCAUUAUUGUUCAUGAUUUGAUGAGUAAAUAGUGCAAGCAUAUAAGUCAAAAUUUAUCUGUUCCUUUUUCCCUAACGGGAAAAGCGAUAUCUUUGGGCCCUCGAUGAUUUGGUGUUGACUUAUAGUGUCGAGGUCAGGACUACAUAGAUGUGUUUGAUUAGUAGUUCUUUGUCAUUACAAAUCAAAAAUCAGGAAACAAAGUAUUGGACAAUGAGAUUGAUUUUGUUCCAUGUCAUUUGUCCACAUGAUACCUUGCAAAACAGAGGAUUAUACGGUUACUUAUCUUAGGAAACAUAACUAACUAGGUCAGAGUUCGACAUUGGCUUUGAGAGCUACUAUUUGCCGACCGAUUUAAAAGAAUAUAUUGGCAAUUAUAGUUAUUAGACUUAACCAAUCGGAAGACUAUUGGAUUUGGUGUCUAAGCCCAUAACUAUAAGUGGAAUAUACUUGAAUUGAUAGUAGCAUAGUCCUUUUGGGUUGCCAUCAAGACUAGCAAUUAAGGAGGAUGACUUGGGAGAAAGAGGUUGAUUUAUCAUUUGAUUAAUAAAUUAAAUAAAUAAUGUGUUAAUAUAUUAUGUGAAUAAUAUAUUAAUUAGAAAUAGUAAUAUUUAAUUCAAAUUUUAAUCAGAAAUUAAUUGGAGUUAAUUUUGGGAUUAAAAGAAUAAAUUAAAAGUGCAGGAACUGAAUUGUAAUUGUUCAAUAGUUGAGCAAGAGGCAAUCUAGAACCCUCCAUAGGCCAUUUACGAUUUUUUUGUGCCUUAGGGUUUCUAGAAUAGUCUCUAAUGGAUAAUUACCCGGUUUAAGAUAAUCUUAAACUUGGGCUUAUCUAGGGUUUCCUAUUUGCACUAUAAAUAGGGACAUAACCCUACAAUUUUCGGCCACUUGUUCCAAGAGAGAUCCAGCCAGAAAUUUGAAGCCUCCCUCCUUCUACACAAUCUUCUUCCAUUGCUAGUGUUGGGCGUGAUCCACUAGAGGCGUGACAAUUUUGACGCUUGUUCUCAAAGUCUCGACAACACUAAGGAUUUGUAUUUUUAUUUCUACAUAACAAUCAAAGGUUUGUUUUAUAACCAUAAUUCUGUAUUUUUGAUUAUAUACGAGUGUUCUAGGGCUUCUGCAUUCGUGUUCAUAUUGUAUGUUCAAUUAAAGCAGACAUAGAUCAAAUUUAGGAUUACAUACAUACAUAGGAUCGUUUGUUAUGCUCAAAACCUAUCAAUAACAACAUGUACGAGAUUCAUUAAUCCACUACUUGCCUCAUAUAAACUUGUAAACAAUGACCCUGUCAUAAUUUCUCUAAUGAACAAAACUCUCAUGCAUCAUUCAAUUCGAAUUGUAUGACUCCAAGUUUCUGUCCCAUUGAAACUUUGUGAUGAGAUUUCCUUUCACUUGGUCAAAUUUGACAAUACGACAAGCACAAUAUUAUAAGAAUAGCAUCCAUCAUUAAUAUUGCUAUUAUUAGAAACACACUCAUUAAUGCCAUUUCAAGGAACUAUAAAAUAAGAUAUCAAAACUUCAUUUUAUUGAUAAAAGAAAAUUGAAUCGUCUCCUUACAAUACAUAAAAGAAAACUAUGUUUCUAGACAUCAGCAAACUAUUAAAGCUAUCCUAACUCUUAAGUAGUAGUCAAAAUUCUGACCAUCGAACCAACAAAAGUCCAUUUCUCAUGAUCAGAUUUAGCUUGCUUUACUUAAGCUUCCUUCUUUAUCUUAGAUUUUGUAAUACCAUCAGAAUGUGAUCAUUACAUCAUGUAUUAAGAGUCUAUGAAUAGGAACUUAUAAACAAUAGAGUUAGAUAAUGGAUGUACUUGAAGUAGAGUCACACGACUUGACUUUACUAUCUCUAAGAUCUUUCAGGUAUUUUGGACAGCUUCGUUUCCAAUGUCCUUUUAAUUGGCUGUAAAAACAAAUGGACUCAUUAGGAUCAACACAUGGAAUGAUCUUAGAACAAGCCUUUCUCUCUACCAUACGAUCAGAUUGUUUAACCUUGGUCGAUCCCUUUUCUAUUCGGAAGAGAAACCUUCUCUUGAUUACCAUUGUCAACGUCCAAUGAAUUCUUGGUAUUAGAUCCUUCAAUAAUUUCUUCUUAGUUGUACUCUUCAGCAUUUAUACUUCUACAGUUAUCAACAUCUUGGUAAGAUCAGCUGGACCACAUGGAAAUUCCUCAUAUGAAAGUUUUCAAGGAACUAAACAUAUUACUUAGGAAGCAAGAUAAGAGCCAAAUCAUUUGAUUGCUCCCUCGAUAAUUUGAUACCCAUUCUUCCCAGUUUGUCAAUGUACGAUUUCAUUUUCAUAACAUGCGCACACAUAGAAUUUCCAUCUAUGUGUUUACAUGCCAAUAGGGCUUGAAUAGUUUCAUAUCUUUCAACUCAAGAAAAAUGUGACAUUGGGUGAGUCACAGGAGGAGGAGGGUGAAACGUUGAAGGGAAACGAUGUCCAAUUCCACCAUUUCAUAACGAAGGGAAGACAACUUCACCUUGACUUAAAUGUUGAAGACCAUCUUCAGAAGAUUGAGGAAAACCAUUUCCAUAAGAACGAGGAAGGCCAUUUUUAUCUUGAAAAGACAUCUAAAAUUAGGAGAAGAGAGAAUUCAAGUUAGUUGAUUUUAACCCUUAAUUAUUAACCCAAAAUUUAAAUUAGGGCUAGGAUCCAUAUUUUCGAUUCAAACUUUGAAGAGAGAUGUUAUAAUCAACUUGCGAAUCUAUUUUAGGUAGGUAAGGCUUUUAAUAAUUUCAAUCUUAUGAAACUCCUAUAUCGUUUUAGAUUCAUUGAAUCUUAUCAAUGUAAUAUUGAAUCUCAGAUUAUGCUCUCACUUUUUUGACUGGGAUGUCGAGGAUCAUAAACGAGAUGUGAAUAACCAUGCAAACCCGCUUGACAACCUUAACGUUAUUUAUCAUCUCACAUUGAUGCUCCAUUUAACCACACAUGCUCCAUCAACAACAAUAAUUUUCGAGUUGUGUCAUCAUUUCAACUUAGUAGUCCUACAUUUGUGUGUCAGUUAACCAUGCAUGCUCCACUAACGACUCAUAAAGAAACGAUGUGUGUUUUCAUGGAUUAGCAUAUUUUUCACAUUUUUCCUAAAGUAACUAGAGUUAGAUUUUUAAAAGAAGGUUCUAGUACUUUAUAGAUUAUAUUUUCAAUCUGAUUAUGUCCUAUCAAACCCGUUCAGUUAACGACCCUCCACCACACAGGAGAGCGGUGGGUGAAUAUGACACCCAUUUAACAAUUAUUUUAUAGGUCAUUUCCUUAUACACUCUUUAUAGCAUGGCCUCGUAAAUGAGGCUUACUAGCAAUUCAAGUGAUUUUAUCUUAUACAUAUAGUAAUUAACUUUUAAUAAAUAUAUAUGAGAUGUAUUUUAAAACCUUUUCAAAGUACUAGGUUUAAAUGUUAAUUAUCUAAAUUAAACAUUUAAUUAAUUAAUAUUAAACCAAUUAUGAUUUAUCUGUAUCCUUUAAUUUAACAAUUUAUUAAAUAAUUAUCUUUAUCACAUUAAAUAGUUAUCUUUAUCCCAUUAAAUAAUUAAUAUUAAACCAAUUAUGAUUAUCUUUAUCCUUUAAUAUUAAACCAAUUAUGAUUAUCUUUAUCCUUUAAUAUUAAACCAAUUAUGAUUUAUCUUUAUCCCAUUAAAUAAUUAUCUUUAAUUAAACUAUUAAUUAAUUAAUUCAAAUUUAAUCCCUACCUUCUGAAUUUCAAAAUUAAGGUUAAGGGUUACCAAGUUUUAAUUAUUCAAAUUUGAAGGCAAUUAAAAUAAUAAUUAAGGAAACCCUGUGAAUUUUUGAAAACAAGGCACUGAGGCUAGGGUUUCAAGAAACCCUCGCAAAGUCGAAAUUUUCAUGAGCUAGGGUUUAUUUUCAAUAAAUCCUAAUCUUUUGAUCCAUUCAAGUUAUGCAUAAUCAAUAGAAAACAAUGGCUCUGAUAACACUGAUGGGUUUUGUAGGUUACAAAAAACAUGUAAAACAUAAAAUCUUAACCCUUAAGUUCACAUUUAACCUACUUUGGAUCUAUGUUUUCUCUAAUUGAUAGCAUUAAACAAUGAACAUCAAGAACCCUAAUAAUCCCUAGGUAUUUCGAAAAUACAAGUAGGAUUAGGGUUUAUAUACCUUAGAUUUAUUAUAACAAAUAAAUCUUAUUCUUUUCUUUGUUGGUCUUCAAAAAGCAAGCAAAAAAAACUUAGUGUCUCUAAUGGUUUGUACCCAAGACCCUAAAAACCCUAGAAUAAUGAGGAGAGAGAGGGGUAGAAAUUUUGUUCCUAAGCUUGUAGGUAAAGUUAUGAACGAAAUUUAAUGUGCAAGGGGUUUUAUUUAUAGUUUAGAUAACUUGCAGCCAAAGCCAUAUUUGAAUUAAUUAAAUAAUGGAUUUAAGCCCAACUUAAAUACUUUCUUUAUUAACAUCCAGGAGGCUUAUGGAAACCCUAGAAGAGCUCCCAAAGCCAUCCACCAUUUGAUGGUUCUAGAAUUGUCUCUUUUGUUCAACUAUUUAACAAUUACAAUUCACCAAUUGCACCUUCAAGUAAUUCUAAUUAAACCUGAAUUAAUUCCAGAUUAAUUCUGAUUAAUAAUUAAUUAAUUUUAAUUGAUUUCUUAUUAAUUUAUUAACCAUAAAUUGACAAAUCAAUUAUUUAACUAUUGAUCUCAUAUUAAUUUACCAAUCACAUAAUAAAUUAACAAAUCAAUUAUCUAUUUCCAAUUAAUAUAUUAAUCCUAUAAUUAAUCAACAAAUCAUUUCACUCUCUCCCUCUCUCUCUCCUAAUAUCAUUUCUAGCUAUUUCUAGUUAUGAGGACAACCCAAAAUGGACUUUGCUUCUAUUUGCAGGUUUAUACCAAUUUAGUUAUGAGCUUAGACAUCUUAAUCCAACAUUACCUUAAUUAUUAAAUUAUGUUUAACUAUUGUGUAGUGGUUCGAGGUAGUAUCGAUGCUACGUAGCUCGUUGUAUGGAUUUAUCUUACCAAUCAUUCAUGUGAGUUCUCGUAAACUUACUUAUUAUAUGGACUAUGUUUUAUACGUAUUCCAAAUAUAGAAAAGCCUAUUGUAGGGAAUCCAGUUGGAUUAAAAAUAUGUAAGGCCAUGAAAAGCCUCUCGGAGGGAAGUGGUCAAUAUUAGGUCAACGAAAGAAAAGCCUCUCAGAUGGAAUCUAGUUAAUUAGGAUUAUGUGUGCUAGUGUAUGUUAUGUGUCUGGAUGCAAAGUUAUAUGGGAUUACUAUUUGAUGCUUAUGUGAUAUGAGGUGAAGUACAUAUGAUCUAUAUAAUGGAUAAGUUUUAUGAUUACACACUAAGUCGUGGGCUUACAAUUGUUACUUUAUAUCUUUAUUUGCAUUUCCUUUAGGUUAGAAGAACAAGGAGUUGGUCUGAUUAGGAUAUCUGGACAUUCUCGAGAGCAUGACAUCCAUUCUAUGUUUAUCUUUCAUGAGUUUGUUUUAAAAAAAAAAAAAAAGAAUUUAGCUUCCGCUUAUGAGGAUGAUUUUAUGUUGUUAUAUUAAUGAUUUUAUGGAUGGAACCCCCAUUUUAGUAAUACUAUACUCUGAUUUUCCAUAAAAAAAUAUAUUGUUGAUUUUAGAUGUUACAAAUUGAGCUCAAAUCAAAAGUAAAAAAUUAUCCCAUAUGAGAUUUGGUACAAGAAAACCCCGAAUUGCAACUAUGUUUUAAUUUAGGGAUGUCGGGUUGUAUUAACAUUGUCCGAGCCUAAAAGGAAAACAUUG